GAUGAACGCUGGCGGCGUGCCUAAUACAUGCAAGUCGAGCGAACGGACGAGAAGCUUGCUUCUCUGAUGUUAGCGGCGGACGGGUGAGUAACACGUGGGUAACCUACCUAUAAGACUGGGAUGACUUCGGGAAACCGGAGCUAAUACCGGAUAAUAUUUUGAACCGCAUGGUUCAAAAGUGAAAGACGGUCUUGCUGUCACUUAUAGAUGGAUCCGCGCUGCAUUAGCUAGUUGGUAAGGUAACGGCUUACCAAGGCAACGAUGCAUAGCCGACCUGAGAGGGUGAUCGGCCACACUGGAACUGAGACACGGUCCAGACUCCUACGGGAGGCAGCAGUAGGGAAUCUUCCGCAAUGGGCGAAAGCCUGACGGAGCAACGCCGCGUGAGUGAUGAAGGUCUUCGGAUCGUAAAACUCUGUUAUUAGGGAAGAACAUAUGUGUAAGUAACUGUGCACAUCUUGACGGUACCUAAUCAGAAAGCCACGGCUAACUACGUG
This 497-nucleotide ribosomal RNA is filed under the name uncultured bacterium. Its description in RNAcentral is "partial 16S ribosomal RNA". It matches the Rfam family "Bacterial small subunit ribosomal RNA", at positions 28 to 507 of the family's 1533-position model. The record is from RNAcentral.